Molecule: ribosomal RNA, 253 nt
Filed under: uncultured bacterium
Lineage: Bacteria
Description: partial 16S ribosomal RNA
Rfam family: Bacterial small subunit ribosomal RNA
Source: RNAcentral
UACGUAGGGGGCAAGCGUUGUCCGGAUUUAUUGGGCGUAAAGGGUGCGUAGGUGGCGCGCUAAGUCGGGUGUGAAAUCUCGGAGCUUAACUCCGAAAUUGCAUUCGAUACUGGCGUGCUUGAGGACUGGAGAGGAGACUGGAAUUUACGGUGUAGCGGUGAAAUGCGUAGAUAUCGUAAGGAAGACCAGUGGCGAAGGCGGCCGACUGGGCCGUUCCUGACGCUGAGACCCGAAAGCCAGGGUAGCGAACCGG